Molecule: ribosomal RNA, 254 nt
Filed under: uncultured bacterium
Lineage: Bacteria
Description: partial 16S ribosomal RNA
Rfam family: Bacterial small subunit ribosomal RNA
Source: RNAcentral
UACGGGGGGAGCAAGCGUUGUUCGGAUUUACUGGGCGUAAAGGGCGCGUAGGCGGCCACGACAGGUCACUUGUGAAAUCUCCGGGCUUAACUCGGAACGGUCAAGUGAUACUGUCGGGCUAGAGUGCAGAAGGGGCAACUGGAAUUCUCGGUGUAGCGGUGAAAUGCGUAGAUAUCGAGAGGAACACCGGUGGCGAAGGCGGCAUCCUGGACCGGCAUUGACGCUGAGGAGCGAAAGCCAGGGGAGCAAACGGG